UAGGGAAUCUUCGGCAAUGGGGGGAACCCUGACCGAGCAACGCCGCGUGAGUGAAGAAGGUUUUCGGAUCGUAAAGCUCUGUUGUUAAGGAAGAACGAGUGUGAGAAUGGAAAGUUCAUACUGUGACGGUACUUAACCAGAAAGGGACGGCUAACUACGUGCCAGCAGCCGCGGUAAUACGUAGGUCCCGAGCGUUGUCCGGAUUUAUUGGGCGUAAAGCGAGCGCAGGCGGUUAGAUAAGUCUGAAGUUAAAGGCAGUGGCUCAACCAUUGUAGGCUUUGGAAACUGUUUCACUUGAGUGCAGAAGGGGAGAGUGGAAUUCCAUGUGUAGCGGUGAAAUGCGUAGAUAUAUGGAGGAACACCGGUGGCGAAAGCGGCUCUCUGGUCUGUAACUGACGCUGAGGCUCGAAAGCGUGGGGAGCGAACAGG
This 429-nucleotide ribosomal RNA is filed under the name Bacteroidota bacterium. RNAcentral describes it as "Bacteroidetes bacterium partial 16S ribosomal RNA". It matches the Rfam family "Bacterial small subunit ribosomal RNA", at positions 355 to 776 of the family's 1533-position model. The record is from RNAcentral. Lineage: Bacteria; Pseudomonadati; Bacteroidota.